GAAGAUGUACAUUGAAGAAAGAUCAUUUAGGCGUUUUGUUGAGGCUUGCCUGGAGGAGUCUGUUGUUGUAUAUGUGGAUCAUCUACUUACCCAGAAAAACUAUAUUAAAGAAGAAACUAUUGAGAGGAUGAGGCUUGAUGAAGAGGUUCUCAUGGAUUUCUUUCGGGAGUACAUUAGCGUAUCUAAAGUGGAGAGCAGAGUAAGGAUACUCAGUGACUUGAGAGAACUUGCUUCAUCUGAGAGCCCUGAUACUUUCACACUGGUUUACACAAAUAUUUUAGAACAGCAACCAGACUGUCCGCCAGAAGUAGUUGAAAAGAUUGUGAGUCUGCGGGAAGGCAUACCACGAAAAGACGCAAAAGAGGUUGUUCAAGAAUGCAAAGAAAUCUACGUAAAUUCUCUGGUAGAUGGAAAUCCUCCAAAAACAGGUUUUGUUUUUCCCAGGGUGAAGUCCUUAUCAGCGGCAAAACAUUCAAUAUGGCGAAAGCUCACCUAGACAGCUGCUGCUGCAACAAAUCGUUUGUUUUUUCACUCGCUGAAUAUUUCCUGUACAUGCCUUCCGUCAUAAAUGUACAGAUUGGGACUAUAUUUUCCGUCUUCAUAUGAUUUGAUUUAUCUUUAGCUCAUUUAUUCGGAUUGUAGUUGCCUUUGCCAAAUAUGUAUUCAUUACUUUUUUACCAUUUUAGCUACUACCAAUUUUGCAACCGCUAGGGUUACAGCGCACUCGCUCCGGUUCUACUUGUAAUGAUUGUUA
RNAcentral lists this unclassified non-coding RNA (754 nucleotides) under Hevea brasiliensis (rubber tree). Lineage: Eukaryota; Viridiplantae; Streptophyta; Magnoliopsida; Malpighiales; Euphorbiaceae. The record is from RNAcentral.